Molecule: ribosomal RNA, 279 nt
Filed under: uncultured bacterium
Lineage: Bacteria
Description: partial 16S ribosomal RNA
Rfam family: Bacterial small subunit ribosomal RNA
Source: RNAcentral
UGCCAGCCGCCGCGGUAAUACGGAAGGUGCGAGCGUUAAUCGGAAUUACUGGGCGUAAAGCGCACGUAGGUGGCUUGGUAAGUCGGAUGUGAAAGCCCUGGGCUCAACCUGGGAAUUGCAUUCGAUACUGCUUAGCUAGAGUAUGAGAGAGGGUAGUGGAAUUCCGGGUGUAGCGGUGAAAUGCGUAGAUAUCCGGAGGAACAUCAGUGGCGAAGGCGACCUCCUGGACUGAUAUUGACGCUGAGGUGCGAAAGCGUGGGGAGCAAACAGGAUUAGAUA